This 380-nucleotide ribosomal RNA is filed under the name uncultured euryarchaeote. RNAcentral describes it as "bacterial SSU rRNA". It matches the Rfam family "Archaeal small subunit ribosomal RNA", at positions 471 to 851 of the family's 1478-position model. The record is from RNAcentral. Lineage: Archaea; Methanobacteriati; Methanobacteriota.
UAAUACCGGCACCUCAAGUGGUAGCCACUAUUAUUGGGCCUAAAGCGUUCGUAGCCGGUUUGGUAAAUUCUUGGGUAAAUCGUACCGCUUAACGGUGCGGAUUCCGGGGACACUACCAGACUUGAGACCGGGGGAGAUCAGAGGUACUUGCGGGGGAGCGGUGAAAUGUUGUAAUCCCACAGGGACCACCAGUGGCGAAGGCGUCUGAUCAGAACGGCUCUGACGGUGAGGAACGAAACCCUGGGGCGCAAACGGGAUUAGAUACCCCGGUAGUCCAGGGCGUAAACGCUGCUGACUUGGUGUUGGGGAUCCUACGAGGAUGUCCAGUGCUGGCGCGAAGGUAUUAAGUCAGCCGCCUGGGGAGUACGGUCGCAAGACUG